RNAcentral lists this ribosomal RNA (492 nucleotides) under uncultured bacterium. Its description in RNAcentral is "partial 16S ribosomal RNA". It matches the Rfam family "Bacterial small subunit ribosomal RNA", at positions 29 to 507 of the family's 1533-position model. The record is from RNAcentral.
AGUGAACGCUGGCGGUAGGCCUAACACAUGCAAGUCGAACGGCAGCACAGUAAGAGCUUGCUCUUACGGGUGGCGAGUGGCGGACGGGUGAGGAAUACAUCGGAAUCUACUUUUUCGUGGGGGAUAACGUAGGGAAACUUACGCUAAUACCGCAUACGACCUACGGGUGAAAGCAGGGGAUCUUCGGACCUUGCGCGAUUGAAUGAGCCGAUGUCGGAUUAGCUAGUUGGCGGGGUAAAUGCCCACCAAGGCGCCGAUCCGUAGCUGGUCUGAGAGGAUGAUCAGCGACACUGGAACUGAGACACGGUCCAUACUCCUACGGGAGGCAGCAGUGGGGAAUAUUGGACAAUGGGCGCAAGCCUGAUCCAGCCAUACCGCGUGGGUGAAGAAGGCCUUCGGGUUGUAAAGCCCUUUUGUUGGGAAAGAAAAGCAGCAGGUUAAUACCCCGCUGUUCUGACGGUACCCAAAGAAUAAGCACCGGCUAACUUCGUG